CCUACGGGAGGCAGCAGCAAGGAAUAUUGUGCAAUGGGCGAAAGUCUGACACAGCGACGCCGCGUGGGGGAAGAAGGCCUUCGGGUUGUAAACCCCUUUUCUCAGGGAAGAUGAUGACGGUACCUGAGGAAUAAGUCUCGGCUAACUACGUGCCAGCAGCCGCGGUAAU
RNAcentral lists this ribosomal RNA (169 nucleotides) under uncultured bacterium. Its description in RNAcentral is "partial 16S ribosomal RNA". It matches the Rfam family "Bacterial small subunit ribosomal RNA", at positions 338 to 524 of the family's 1533-position model. The record is from RNAcentral.